Molecule: transfer RNA, 72 nt
Filed under: Toxocara canis (dog roundworm)
Lineage: Eukaryota; Metazoa; Nematoda; Chromadorea; Rhabditida; Toxocaridae
Rfam family: tRNA
About the family: Transfer RNA (tRNA) molecules are approximately 80 nucleotides in length. Their secondary structure includes four short double-helical elements and three loops (D, anti-codon, and T loops).
Source: Rfam by way of RNAcentral
AGGGCAGUAGCUCCGUGGUAGAGCCCCGGCUUCGCAUGCUGGGAGACCUGGGUUCGAUUCCCGGCUGCUUUC